Molecule: ribosomal RNA, 3388 nt
Filed under: Durio zibethinus
Lineage: Eukaryota; Viridiplantae; Streptophyta; Magnoliopsida; Malvales; Malvaceae
Description: eukaryotic LSU rRNA
Rfam family: Eukaryotic large subunit ribosomal RNA
Source: RNAcentral
UAUGACCCUAGGUUAGGUGGGAUUACCUAUUAAGUUUAAGCACAAUGAUAAGUGGAGAAAAAGAAACUUACUAGGAUUCCCUUAGUAACGAUGAGUGAACCGAUAGAGCCGAGAAUCGAGCACCCAUGGCAUCUGAAUUGUAGUUUGGAGAAGCAUCCUUAGUAGUAGACUAGGUCGAACUCCCUUGGAAAAGGGCACUAAGAGGGUGAGAGUCGCAUUGUGCUCAGACCUUAUCACACCACGAGGCAUUGUUUGUGAGUCGGGUUGUUUAAAACUACAGCCCCAAUCGGGCUAUAAAUUUUAUGUGAGGCUAAAUACACUUGAGAGAUCGAUAGUGAACAAGUACCAUAAGCGAAAGAUGAAAAGGACUUUGAAAAGAGAGUCAAAGAGUGCUUGAAAUUGUUAGGAAGAAAGCAGAUGGGGCUAGUGAUGCAUCUCAAUUGAAUGUAGAAUGGUAAGAGCCAGUCUAUCGAUCGGUCGAUUUGUUGAUCAACUUGGGGAAUGGACCAAUUUAGGUCAUAGCAGUGGCCUAAGCCCUAGCUUUUGAUAUGCCCUUAGAGACAUUGUCACCAUAAUUAUGGAAUGCAACACUCACCACCUUAGUGUAACUUGGUACCCACGUGCUCUUGACAUCAACCUGUAGGCUCCCAAUCUAACCCGUCUUAAAACAUGAACUAAGGAGUCUGACAUGUGUGUGAGUCAAUGGGCUAGAAAAUUUGUAGGGCGUAAGGAAGUUGAUUGGCAAGAUACCUCAUGGGUGCACUACCUACUAACCUUGAUCUUUGAAGAAGAGUUUGAGUGUGAACAUGCUUGUUAGGACCUAAAAGAUGGUGAACCAUACCUGAGCAAGGUGAAGCCAAAGAAAACUCUGAUGGAGGCUCACAAUGAUAUUGAUGUUGAAAUUGUUCAUCUAACUUGGGUAUAGGGGCAAAAAACUAGUCAAACAAUUUAGUAGCUAGUUUCAUUUGAAGUUUCCCUUAGGAUAGCUACACCCUUAGUGAGUUCUAUAGGUAAAGCUAAUGAUUAGAGGCAUUAGAGAUGCAAUGCCCUUGACCUAUUCUCAAAUUUUAAAUUGGUAGGAUGAUGUUACUACUUCAUUGAGUAAUGCCAUGGAAUCAAUAGCUUUAAGGGGGCCAUUUUUUAUAAGCAAAACUAGCAAGGUGGGUUGAGCUGAAAGCUGAGUUACAGUGCCCAUCUACGUGCUAACUUAGAACCCACAAAGGGGUUGGUCAAUUAAGACAGCAGAAUGGUGGUCAUAGAAGUCAAAAUCUACUAAAGAGUAUGUAACAACUCACCUACCAAUCAACUAGACCAAAAAAUGGAUGGUACUUAAGCGUGUGACCUAUACCUAGCUGUCAGGGAAAAGAUCGGGCCCUAAUGAGUAAGAAGGUAAGGCGAUCGUUGCAAAACCUAGGGUAUGAGCCUGGGUAGAGUAGCUAUCGAUGCAGAUCUUGGUGGUGGUAGUAAAUAUUCAAAUGAAAAUUUUGAAGGCUGAAGAGAGGAAAGGUUCCAUGUGAAUGACACUAGCACAUGGGUUAGUUGAUCCUAAGAGAUGGGGGAAAUUUUCUUCUGAUAACGCGUCUAGUGUUAGCUUUAAAAGAGAAUUGGGUUAAAAUUCCUAAACUAAGAUCCAGUAGCUAACAACAACAUUAAGGAGUCUAGAGACAUUAGUGAUGGCCUCAGGAAGAGUUAUCUUUUCUGUUUAAUGGCCUAUCCACCCUGAAAAUGGCUCAGCUAGAUUUAGGGUUUAGCAGCUAGAAGAGCACUGCACAUCAUGCAAUAUCUAGUGCACCCUUGAUGGCCCUUAAAAGUCUAGAGGAUCGAGUGCCAUCUAUGCUUGGUUUUACUCAUAAUCGCAUCUGGUCUCCUAGGUGAACGGCCUCUAGUCGAUGGAAUAAUAUAGGUAGGGGAAGUCAACAAAAUGGAUUUGUAAGCUUAAGAAAAAGAUUGGCUUUGAAGGCUAGGCAUAGGGGUCCCAAUCUUGAACCCAUUAACUCUCAAUGCACUACUCUAGCUGUUCCCACGGUGAGAGUGGGUCAUAGCUUGCUACCUGAGGGAUGGACUAGGAAUGCCUCCCUUGUGGGCCUUUCUCGAGUGAUGAAUAGUCGACUCAGAACUAGUAUAGGCAAAGGGAAUAUGACUAUUUAAUUAAAACAUAGCACUGUGAUGGUCCUUGUAGAUGCUCCCACAAUAUGAUUUUUGCCCAGUGCUUUGAUUAUCAAAGUGAACAAAUUCAACCAAGCAUGGGUAAAUGGUAGGAGUAACUUUGACUGUUUUAAGGUAGCUAUAUGCCUUGUCAUCUAAUUAGUAACAGGCAUGAAUGGAUUAACAAGAUUCCCAUUGUCUCUUUUUACUAUCUAGUGAAACCAUAGCCAAGGGAAUGGGCUCAGUAGAUUCUAUGGGGAAAGAAGACUCUGUUGAGCUUAACUUUAGUCCGACUUUAUGAAAUGACUUAAUAAGUGUAGGAUAAGUGAAAGCCUUCAAGUGAAAUUGAAAUACCACAACUUUUAAUGUUAUUUUACUUAUUCCAUUUAUCAGAGGUGGGUAUGACUUUUGGACCUAAGGCUAACCUCAAUUGGUUGAUCCUAGCAAAAAACAUUGUUAGGUGGAGAGUUUAGCUGAGGUAGCACAUUUGUUAAAAGAUAAUGCAAGUGUCCUAAGAUGAGCUCAAUGAGAAUAAAAAUCUCAUGUGAAAUAAAAGGGUAAAAGCUCAUUUGAUUAUGAUUUACAGUAUGAAUAUGAAUCAUGAAAGCAUGGCCUAUCGAUCCAUUAGACCUUCAAAAUUUCAAGCUAAAGGUGUAAAAAAAGUUACCUUAAGGAUAAUUGGCUUGUGGCAGCCAAUCGUUCAUAUUGACAUUGCUUUUUCAUCCUUUGAUGUCAACUUUUCCUAUCACUAUGAAGCAAAAUUCACCAUGUGUUUGAUUUUUCACCCACCAAAAGGGAAUGUGAGCUUGGUUUAGACCAUCAUGAGAUAGGCUAGUUUUACCCUACUGAUGGUAGCGUCGUAAUAGUAAUUCAACCUAGUGUGAGAGGAACCAUUGAUUCUUACAAUGGUAAUUACGCUUAGUUGAAAAGUUGGUGGCAUGAAGCUACCAUGCGUUAGAUUAUGACUAAACGUCUCUAAGUCAGAAUCUAGGCUAGAAGUGAUGCAUGCACCUAUUGUCUAAUUGCUGACCUGCAAUAGGGGCCGAUGCCCCCUAAAGGCAUAUGUCAUAGGUGUAGCCCCUGUAAUAGACAAGCCGCAUAGGCCUUCUUAGAGUUGGAUUCCCACCAAGUGUUGGGUAGAAUCCUUUAUAGAUGACUUAAAUAUGUGAUGGGUAUUGUACGUGGCAAAGUGGCCUUGCUACCAUGAUCCACUAGGAUUCAACCCUUUGUAGCUUUGAUUCAU